CUGAUUCAGGGAGGUAGCGACAAGAAAUAACGAUAGCGGGCUCGUUCGAGUCCGCGCAUCGGAAUGAGGACAAUUUACACCCCUUCUCGAGGAUCCAUUGGAGGGCAAGUCUGGUGCCAGCAGCCGCGGUAAUUCCAGCUCCAAUAGCGUAUACUAAAGUUGUUGCAGUUAAAAAGCUCGUAGUCGAAUGUAGAUUGUACAGGUGCGCGGACGUUUAGGUGUAUAACUUAUAUUGUCUGUACGCCACAAUCACCCUUAUGUAGUACGGUUGUUUUGGUUUCCAGAACAAAUUUACCGACUACAUACAUUACUGUGAACAAAAUAGAGUGUUCAUGGCAGGCCAAUUAGGCUUGAAUACCUCAGCAUGGAAUAAUAGAAUAGGACUUCUGGUUCUAUUUUGUUGGUUUUUGGAGCCGAAGUAAUGAUUAAUAGGGAUAGUUGGGGGCACUCGUACUCCGUUGUCAGAGGUGAAAUUCUUGGAUUGACGGAAGACGAACAACUGCGAAAGCA
This 510-nucleotide ribosomal RNA is filed under the name uncultured Cryptophyta. Its description in RNAcentral is "SSU rRNA". It matches the Rfam family "Eukaryotic small subunit ribosomal RNA", at positions 451 to 953 of the family's 1831-position model. The record is from RNAcentral. Lineage: Eukaryota; Cryptophyceae.